GUCAGAAGUCGUUUUACCUCUUCUCGGAUGGCCAGUUGCCGAUCCGGGGCCUGCCGCCUGGGUCUCUGUUUUACCGGGCGGGCGUCGGACGAGAUGUUCAAGUGGUGCAGCGCGACUUCCGGGUGGACUUCGACUAGGUCAGUCGGCGUCCAAGCGAAGAUGUCGGCGUUGGCUCGCAGAAGGCCGACGAGCUGCUGUUGCUCUUGUUCGGGCAGUCCCGACCCGACUUUGACUGUUUGGUCGGGCCUUCCUUCGAUCAGUGGCAAAUCAAUGGUGGAUUCCUUCGGCUCGGGGCGGGGGGUCGGUUUUUUUCCCUCCCGGGGGUCUUCCAGCGGGGAUUGGAUCCUCGCUCUCUUGUUUAGUGACACAGCGGUCAAGUAGCAGCGCCUGGACUCCCAGGAGUUCCCCGCCACUUCCCCGACCCCAUCGUGGGUCGGGAACUUGAUGGUUUGGUAGUAAGUUUAGAUGACGGCUCGGGUCUUGUUGAGGGUUGGCCGUCCGAGGAUGGCGUUGUAUGCCGUGGGGAGGUCGACCACCAGAAA
This 542-nucleotide long non-coding RNA is filed under the name Musa acuminata (dwarf banana). Its description in RNAcentral is "long non-coding RNA (MACU_LNC009212)". The record is from RNAcentral. Lineage: Eukaryota; Viridiplantae; Streptophyta; Magnoliopsida; Zingiberales; Musaceae.